This 481-nucleotide long non-coding RNA is filed under the name Anas platyrhynchos platyrhynchos (common mallard). Its description in RNAcentral is "lncRNA (ENSAPLG00000028340.1)". Lineage: Eukaryota; Metazoa; Chordata; Aves; Anseriformes; Anatidae. The record is from RNAcentral.
UAGGUUAUCUUUAUACUGUUUUCUGUGGGCUUUUUGGUAAUGUUCUGAUACUACAGUACCUACCCAGCUGGAGCAGUGCUCCUGAAAUUUAUGGAGACAACAGGCUUCCAUCUUCUCUGUGGAUUUAUAUGCCAGCGUAGCACAAAUGAGCACUCAGGUGCUGGUUAUUAGCAUUCUUCUUUGCUAGGCAGAAAAAAAAAUAAUCAAAGAAUUGUUGAGUGAUGUAAACCUGGUGAGAGGAUGAGAAACCGGCAGGUCUCUAAAAUCUUCUGGUACAGAGCUGAGAUUCUGGAUCAUGAAUACCUCUGCAUUGCAGUCAUAGGAGAGACAAAGCAGAGGAUGCUCAUAAAGAUGAAACAUCUUUAAGUUGUCAAGAAGAGCUGAUGGAUCUACAGCUCAAGCUCUGUUCCUUGAGGAUUGCCUUACGCUAUCCAUAUAUAUUCAUAAUAAAAUCUGAAACAUACUGUUCCUGGUUUGUGAU